This 253-nucleotide ribosomal RNA is filed under the name uncultured bacterium. RNAcentral's name for it is "partial 16S ribosomal RNA". It matches the Rfam family "Bacterial small subunit ribosomal RNA", at positions 524 to 776 of the family's 1533-position model. The record is from RNAcentral.
GACAGAGGGGGCAAGCGUUGCUCGGAAUCACUGGGCGUAAAGGGCGCGUAGGCGGGAUGGCAAGUCGGUCGUGAAAUCUCUCGGCUCAACCGAGAAACGUCGGCCGAUACUGCCGUUCUUGAGGGAUGCAGAGGAGACUGGAAUUCCCGGUGUAGCGGUGAAAUGUGUAGAGAUCGGGAGGAACACCGGUGGCGAAGGCGGGUCUCUGGGCAUUUCCUGACGCUGAGGCGCGAAAGCUAGGGGAGCGAACAGG